Molecule: long non-coding RNA, 250 nt
Organism: Myotis davidii
Lineage: Eukaryota; Metazoa; Chordata; Mammalia; Chiroptera; Vespertilionidae
Exons: 3
Source: RefSeq, a predicted model, not a curated record
AGUCUCAGCUCUCAGGGUAACCACUCCCACGGGCUGGCUUUCCGGCACACCCACAAACAGCCCAGCCUCGGGAGUCAGCCCGCAUUCCAGGGACCAGACCAGACCGUCUGCGGGGUGCUGCUCUCCACGCCUCUGGCAGGGAAACGCUCUUGGAAGGGCUGGAAAGGUGCCGGAGUCCAGCCAUGCUGGCGCUGCUGUGUGCCUGCUGGUUCCUGGUGGCCUGCGCCUCGGUGGGCUCUGAUGCCAGCUU